AUUGAACGCUGGCGGCAGGCCUAACACAUGCAAGUCGAGCGGCAGCGGAAAGUAGCUUGCUACUUUGCCGGCGAGCGGCGGACGGGUGAGUAAUGUCUGGGAAACUGCCUGAUGGAGGGGGAUAACUACUGGAAACGGUAGCUAAUACCGCAUAACGUCGCAAGACCAAAGAGGGGGACCUUCGGGCCUCUUGCCAUCAGAUGUGCCCAGAUGGGAUUAGCUAGUAGGUGGGGUAACGGCUCACCUAGGCGACGAUCCCUAGCUGGUCUGAGAGGAUGACCAGCCACACUGGAACUGAGACACGGUCCAGACUCCUACGGGAGGCAGCAGUGGGGAAUAUUGCACAAUGGGCGCAAGCCUGAUGCAGCCAUGCCGCGUGUAUGAAGAAGGCCUUCGGGUUGUAAAGUACUUUCAGCGGGGAGGAAGGCGCUGAGGUUAAUAACCUCAGCGAUUGACGUUACCCGCAGAAGAAGCACCGGCUAACUCCGUGCCAGCCGCCGCUGUAA
Molecule: ribosomal RNA, 506 nt
Filed under: uncultured bacterium
Lineage: Bacteria
Description: partial 16S ribosomal RNA
Rfam family: Bacterial small subunit ribosomal RNA
Source: RNAcentral